Non-coding RNA from Callorhinus ursinus (northern fur seal), 103 nucleotides. The record is from RefSeq and is a predicted model, not a curated record. Lineage: Eukaryota; Metazoa; Chordata; Mammalia; Carnivora; Otariidae.
CCAGGAAGCACUGGCAAAGAAGAGGGAGGAGGAUGGUCCCAGUCUCACGCAGGAACAGAGAGUUCACAUAAGCCUGGGUGUCAUUUCUUCCUCAUUCAUCCUU